Molecule: ribosomal RNA, 405 nt
Filed under: Sphingomonas sp.
Lineage: Bacteria; Pseudomonadati; Pseudomonadota; Alphaproteobacteria; Sphingomonadales; Sphingomonadaceae
Description: bacterial SSU rRNA
Rfam family: Bacterial small subunit ribosomal RNA
Source: RNAcentral
UCAGAAUGAACGCUGGCGGCAUGCCUAACACAUGCAAGUCGAACGAACCCUUCGGGGUUAGUGGCGCACGGGUGCGUAACGCGUGGGAAUCUGCCCCUUGGUUCGGAAUAACAGUUAGAAAUGACUGCUAAUACCGGAUAACGACGUAAGUCCAAAGAUUUAUCGCCGAGGGAUGAGCCCGCGUAGGAUUAGCUAGUUGGUGUGGUAAAGGCGCACCAAGGCGACGAUCCUUAGCUGGUCUGAGAGGAUGAUCAGCCACACUGGGACUGAGACACGGCCCAGACUCCUACGGGAGGCAGCAGUGGGGAAUAUUGGACAAUGGGCGAAAGCCUGAUCCAGCAAUGCCGCGUGAGUGAUGAAGGCCUUAGGGUUGUAAAGCUCUUUUACCCGGGAUGAUAAUGACAG